AGGGCCCUGCAAAUGCUAGGGCCGGCCCUGUGAAUAGUUACCAGAGUCCGAAACAAAAAUUAAUCCCACGCUCAGACAUAAUGUUUCUCAAGGGAGAGAACUCAACAAAAAAAAGUGAAAGAUAUUAAAGAGAGCAGUGAAAGAGUUUCAGCCAGGAAGAGACAGUGAUUGAGAUGGUACGUGAGACAAACUUAGAGCCUGGGAAAGGAAAAAGUAAAGAAAGAAAAAACAAAUCACGCUUUUGUGAGAGUUCUCCAACUGCCUCUCUCAGAGGCCAUCUGAUGCCAGACAAUGCUGCCAGGUACUUUCCUCUAUGCCAGUGAGGGCGAAAUGGCGCCUGAGUGGAUCUUUAUGGCACUUACCUACUGUAAGCUCGCAAAAGAAGAUCGCCUUUUGUAUGCGGACGUCUUCCAUUCGGUAUAAGUGUUACUGACACCAUACAAAUUAAUAAAUAGAUGACAUUUUGUUCAUAUUUGCCUU
Biomphalaria glabrata is the source of this 480-nucleotide long non-coding RNA. RefSeq lists it as uncharacterized. The record is from RefSeq and is a predicted model, not a curated record. The transcript is spliced from 3 exons. NCBI's taxonomy places the organism in Eukaryota, Metazoa, Mollusca, Gastropoda, Planorbidae.